Molecule: long non-coding RNA, 898 nt
Organism: Rosa rugosa (rugosa rose)
Lineage: Eukaryota; Viridiplantae; Streptophyta; Magnoliopsida; Rosales; Rosaceae
Exons: 3
Source: RefSeq, a predicted model, not a curated record
GAUCGUCUUUUUUAACUUCAACAAUUAGAUUUAAGUUAGAUGUUUUGUUAUUGUUACUUGCUACUUUGUAGUAGCUAGGCCAAGUCACAUCUGACUUAGUUAUGUUUGUAAUAUGUGAUAUUCUUGUAUGUAAAUGAGAAGCUUCAAACGUACAUCAAGUUAUGGAGUCGCAGAAAAGAACGAAAAAGAAAAAGAAAAAGAAAAAGAGCAAACAAAUUAUUUAGGAUGACCGAAAUUGGAGGUACUGAAGGUGCUUCUGGACCUGCUUCUGCUUUUGAGGUUAUGUUAUGCUGUUUGGUAAAUUGUCUAGGAAGUGCUUUUGGUCCAGUUUGCUUCUCCUAGAAUCUGAAAUUGAGAAGCACCCAAGUACCAGCUUUGGGAAGCUGCUUCUGUCAAAACACGGAGUGAACAGUAUUGAUUAAAUGAAAGUUUCUCCUUUUUCCUAUUAUGUCCUCAUCUUUUCUAUAGGGUUUCGUUUCUUCCUUCUCUCUUCCCAGAUCUCUCUUCCCAGCCUCCUCCUCAAAACCAUCGAUCUCAAAAACCAUCGGUUUCUAUAGAAAGCGAUCUCUCAAGAGGAUUCAAAACCCAACUCCGUCACUCCUCCGCGGCACGCUCCAAACCCAAAGCAUUCCCGGAUCGAUCUCUCUGUCUCUUCAAAACCCAGCUCCUCAUCGAUGGUUUUUGGGACAUGAGUGCAAGAGAUCGAGGUCAUGCUGAAGAUCAAGUUUGAUAUAUGAUAGUGCAGCAAUUUGAGAGUUUGAAGAGGAUGUAGUAGUGUGUACUUUUUAGUUCUCAUUUGGUUUCCUUUAAGAUAUGUUUACAGUACUUUUGUAAAACGAUAAAUCAUGAAGUUUGUAGUUUUUCAUAAUUGAGACCUUAAUCCAUGUGCCUUGUACUA